Molecule: transfer RNA, 73 nt
Filed under: bacterium
Lineage: Bacteria
Description: tRNA-Met
Rfam family: tRNA
About the family: Transfer RNA (tRNA) molecules are approximately 80 nucleotides in length. Their secondary structure includes four short double-helical elements and three loops (D, anti-codon, and T loops).
Source: RNAcentral
GGCUGGAUAGCUCAGCGGUUAGAGCAAUGGCAUCAUAAGCCAUGGGUCGCAGGUUCGAAUCCUGCUCCAGCUA